Molecule: ribosomal RNA, 345 nt
Filed under: uncultured bacterium
Lineage: Bacteria
Description: bacterial SSU rRNA
Rfam family: Bacterial small subunit ribosomal RNA
Source: RNAcentral
AUUGAACGCUGGCGGCGUGCUUAACACAUGCAAGUCGUGCGGUAACAGGCGUAGCAAUACGUGCUGACGAGCGGCGAACGGGUGCGUAAUACAUGGGAAUCUGCCUUUUAGUGGGGAAUAACCCGGCGAAAGCCGGGCUAAUGCCGCAUAAGAUCUUCGGAUGAAAGCGGGGAGUCGUAAGACCUCGCGCUGAUAGAUGAGCCCACUGCCGGAUUAGCAGUUGGUGAGGUAACGGCUCACCAAGGCGACGAUCCGUAGCUGGUCUGAGAGGACGGCCAGCCACACUGGGACUGAGACACGGCCCAGACUCCUACGGGAGGCAGCAGUGGGGAAGUAAUUGGACAA